This 318-nucleotide ribosomal RNA is filed under the name uncultured bacterium. RNAcentral describes it as "partial 16S ribosomal RNA". It matches the Rfam family "Bacterial small subunit ribosomal RNA", at positions 28 to 334 of the family's 1533-position model. The record is from RNAcentral.
GAUGAACGCUAGCGGCAGGCUUAACACAUGCAAGUCGAGGGGCAGCGGGGGGCGCGCUUGCGCGUCCCGCCGGCGACCGGCGCACGGGUGAGUAACACGUAUGCAACCUGCCCCCGCCAGGGGUACAACCCUCCGAAAGGGGGGCUGAUACCGCGUACAUCCCCCGGGGGCAUCCCCGGGGGAGGAAAGCCCUACGGGGCGGGCGGGGAUGGGCAUGCGGCGCAUUAGGAAGACGGCGGUGUGACGGACCACCGUUCCGACGAUGCGUAGGGGUUCUGAGAGGAAGGCCCCCCACAUUGGAACUGAGACACGGUCCAA